ACGUAGGGGGCAAGCGUUAUCCGGAUUUACUGGGUGUAAAGGGAGCGUAGACGGCGAGGCAAGUCUGAUGUGAAAACCCGGGGCUCAACCCCGUGACUGCAUUGGAAACUGUUUUACUUGAGUGCCGGAGAGGUAAGCGGAAUUCCUAGUGUAGCGGUGAAAUGCGUAGAUAUUAGGAGGAACACCAGUGGCGAAGGCGGCUUACUGGACGGCAACUGACGUUGAGGCUCGAAAGCGUGGGGAGCAAACAG
RNAcentral lists this ribosomal RNA (251 nucleotides) under uncultured bacterium. RNAcentral's name for it is "partial 16S ribosomal RNA". It matches the Rfam family "Bacterial small subunit ribosomal RNA", at positions 525 to 775 of the family's 1533-position model. The record is from RNAcentral.